AUACGAAGGGUGCAAGCGUUAAUCGGAAUUACUGGGCGUAAAGCGCGCGUAGGUGGUUUUGUAAGUUGGAGGUGAAAGCCCCGGGCUCAACCUGGGAAUUGCCUCCAAAACUGCAUGACUAGAGUACGGUAGAGGGUAGUGGAAUUUCCUGUGUAGCGGUGAAAUGCGUAGAUAUAGGAAGGAACACCAGUGGCGAAGGCGACUACCUGGACGGAUACAGACACCGAGGUUGGAAAGCGUGGGGAGCAAAAAGGAUUAGUUGCCCUGGUGGUCCACGCCGUAAACGAUGUCAACUAGCCGUUGGGAUCCUUGAGAUCUUAGUGGCGCAGCUAACGCAUUAAGUUGACCGCCUGGGGAGUACGGCCGCAAGGUUAAAACUCAAAUGAAUUGACGGGG
RNAcentral lists this ribosomal RNA (396 nucleotides) under uncultured bacterium. RNAcentral describes it as "partial 16S ribosomal RNA". It matches the Rfam family "Bacterial small subunit ribosomal RNA", at positions 523 to 918 of the family's 1533-position model. The record is from RNAcentral.